UUGCCACAAUAUUACUCCAUAGCAACUUCUUCGAGAGAUGCAGCAGAUGGCCAGUCGUCCCUUUGCCUCCGUAAAUGUUGCCUUGGAAACAGAUGAAGAGCCUCCUGAUCUUAUUGGGGGGAGUAUAAAGACUGUUCCCAAACCCAUUGCCCUGGAGCCGUGUUUUGGCAACAAAGCUGCUGUCCUCUCUGUGUUUGUGAGGCUCCCUCGAGGGCUCUGUGGAAUCCCUCCUCCUGGGCAGUCAGGUCUCGCGGUGGCCAGCGCCCUCGUGGACAUUUCUCAGCAGAUGCCAAUGGUGUACAAAGAGAAGUCAGGAGCCGUGAGAAACCGGAAGCAGCAGCCCCCCGCGCAGCCCGGGACCUGCAUCUGAGGCCGGGCGGAGACUCUCCGUGAGCGAGCCGGCGGGGUGGGGGGGCUGGCGUGCGGCGCCGUCAGCAGGGAGGGGGCAGGCGGGGAGAUGCUCCAUGGAGUGGGCCGAAGACUGGAAACCCUCGAAACAUCCGACUCCUCUGCAUGUUCACGAGCUUUCUUUGCCGGUUUCUCCCAUCUGUGCUCCAGCAUCUAACCUUUUACUUUUGCAUAGGAAAUAAUUAUUUAAUGGCAGGUCCAGGGGUGACCCAGUUGUUGCUGGAGGAGGCCGGGGCAGAGCCAGUGAGAGAGCUGGGAGCAACACUCAGGUUCACUUGUGGAAAACUGUUCUUGGGGCUGUCUCAACUUGCAAAAAACAGAAGAUGUAGUGUUUACAAGUAGACAUUCACCACCAGUCGUUCUUGAACAUGGUCUUUUAAAAACUAGUCAGAUGAAUGAAUUUGUUCUCAUCUGAAGCCUGCUAUCUUUUUUAAAAGAUGUGCUACUUAUUCUCGCAUGACGUAGGCAAACCUCUCUCUUGCAGGGAGUAGCUUUUUUCUAGUUGAGAAUAAACAAAGGUCCAUCUCUUUUGAAUCAUAUCAAACUAAGGUAGAAGGGGGCUAUUUUAAAUGUCAAGGUCAGCAGUGUUACUUAGAAUGUAAACUGAUGUAAUAGGUAGUUUUCUAUAGCAACUUGAUUAAUUUAUUCUUAAUCCAUUUGAAAUCCUCUCCCUCUCUCUGUCUCUCUCCCUCUCUCAUGUCUCUCUCUCUGUCUCUCUCUCUCUCACACAUACACACACACACAUACACACACACUAAGUGCCUAGACUUGAAAUAGAUCUAGCAAUUGGAAAGUUAGUAAGCCUAAGUUUUUCCAUAAUUGCAUUCCUACAUUCUUAUAAAAUUUAAAUAGCUACCAUUGGCAAUCUGCUCUUUUUCUAAAAUCUAAUUUGCAGCCAGGAAAGAAUUUUCUCACCCCAGGGAACGUUUAACCUAGCAGCAGGGACUGAGAGGAAAGCGGAAAUUACCAAACUGUGAAAGCUCCUGUUUAUGUUGUUGUCAAAAGACAGGAGCACUAAAUAAGGUGUGGUCCUCAUGUGCCCCCUGCCCCCCGCCCCCCACUCUAGGCCUGACGUUGGCUCCAGCCCUUCUAGCCACUCCUGCCAGGACACCACAGAGGCAGGGACUCGUCCAUGUUACAUGUCUCCCUUGGGCAGAAAAGAGCAUGCCAGCCCUUAGGAUCCCUGCAUCAAAGAGCAACAGUGUGCCCUAGAGCCUGCCUUGAGCUGGUGGGCCAUCCUCAGGCUGCAGGUGGAAUUGCACGCCCAAAGCCUGGAGAAGAACCUGGAACUGUUUGCUGGCUCUCCUUCAGGAGAGGGUCAGCUUGGCCCUCCCAUCCUCCUUCCCAGCCCCGGGUGGUGGCUGUGGGCAGGGCAGUGACCACUGAGAAGGAUGAAAAGCACAUAGAGAAUAUAGAUAAGGAGGAAUAACCAUGCCAAGUGGAAAGUGACCAAGUUGAAGUGGGGCGGGGCAGUCCUGCUCUUCUCCGCAGGCCGCUGCCUGGGGGUCAUGGUUUCCCUGUGUAUGGUGCUCUGUAUUCCGGCAUUACGCGGCAGCCUCUGCAGGUCUUUCUUCCACUUCAAAACUUGGGGUUCUCUAGCAUUACCCCGUAGGGAUGGCCCUCUAGACAACCACACUCGUUUGUGAAUUUGGAGAAAUUAAUACUCGAAAGAGCAAAGACUGCAGCUUUUCACCUUGACAUGCAGUGCCUAGAGUAGGAACGCUGUCUCUUUCCCAGCCCUCGCCCAUGAAAAGUUGCCUGGAAAGAUGUUUUCAUGGAAGUUGAACCCUAAAACACUGUCUGAUGCACAAAACACCUCUACUUUGAGACUCGCCUCUCAAAAAGCUGCUUUUUCACAUCAAUGACAAAGAGCAGACAAUUCUAGAAAAGACCCCCUUCUCUCUCAAGCUUCCCACAUCCCUGCUCCACAUCACAGCACCCACAGAGAGCCUGCCUCAGACUGGCGCUUUACCCCUAUAAUUGCCAUGAGGCCUCUUGGCAGAGAGAGGGAGGCCGCUGGAGAAGGACCCCCCACAAGGAAAAUCCUUGUUUGUUCAAAGGACCAGUGUUUCUUUGGCCAAAGAAGUCUCUUCCCCAUGGCUUCCCAGGCCUUGAAAUAACAUACACCGUGUCCCAUAGCACCUGGUUUGGUGUUUUGCUUUUCUAAAAGAUAGUUUAUUUUUAAAAAGGAAGGAAAAAGGAGCAAGUGAUGUUUACUUCUGCUCCAACAGUGGAGAAACAGCUGAAUCCACCUGCUUCUCCUUUGCAGCCAAUAGCAAACAGCUUCCUCAGGGCUCAGGCCAGAGGAAGGGAGGGGCAGGAGAAAGAGGCGCUCAGCUUAGGAGCCAGUUACCAAGAGGGAAUCAUCUGGAACUUCAGAGAAAUGCCUGCGUGUCACAGGAGAGCCUGUAUAUAAGUUAAAAUAGUCACGAAAACAUUGAUGUUGCACUUGUACAUAAUUAUACAGUAGUGUCCAGAAUGUUCAGACAUUCAGAGUGUACAUAAAACAAAACUAUGUCAAUGUAUUUUUAUUAAAUGUAACGGUGUCUGAGUUUUACCUAAUAUGUUUUUGUGACACAUACCGGAUAUCCAAGUCUAAAGAAGUCCUCUCAUUGGGCCCUGAUACAUUGAUAACAAAACCAAAAAAAGGGGGGGGGCAUCCCCAUCAUGCCAGUGUGUCCAGAUGCAUCUGGUCCGAAUUGGUUGAUUCUAAAACAGAAAUCGUCUGCCGGUACACAGAGGAGAACUCAGGCGUCGAGUACAUUUAAACAGCAUUGUGUGAGGAGCCUUGAAGGCAGCGGGCAUGUCGCUGUCACCUGCAGGCUCUGCAGGGGGUCAUGAAUCUUUCUGUUAGCCUCUUGCUACUGUGCCUGGCCACGGAUGACCAGUCUUGUCCUGAGAAGCGUUUCUCUUAGUCUCUCAGUUCGAAGACUCUCUCAGAUUUUCCAGAAAGGGGUUUUCCAGGCUGCCUUUUGUUCCGUUUGGUCUACAAUUUGAAUGACCAUUUCCCGGGACUGUGGUUUCCUGUACUGAAAACCAGGGUGGGAGUAGGAUGGCCGGUUCACUGACAGAUCGCUCCCGUUCCCUCCUGCGGAUCCACGCCCAGCCUGGCCUCCUGUCCGCGCCCCACUCCUCGUCUUACAGCACUCCCUAUGAGAUCAGCUUGAAGAGAUGGAGGAGGUGUGGAGAGAAGGCAAGCCACACUUCCCCCCACGCCUCCCCCGAGCUGCCCUGGAGGAAAAGCAGCCCUUGGCAGGAAAACAGCAGAACAUCUGGGGGUGAGGCCUGAAGCCCCCGAUGGGAGAUGGGAGACGCACCGAUCGGGAAGCCCGGGGCGGACGUGGAUGCGCGAGAAGACCAGAGCCCUCUCGGUAGAAAGAAGACAUGGGACCUUUUCAGUGCAACUCGCUCCGUCAGUUCAACGGGGGAGGGGGUGGGGGUUCACUUCCUCCGGUGCUGGUGUCAUUUUUGAGAACACUUUGAUCCUUUAGUCUCUCUCAUCCAUCCACACCCUCAGUGAAUACUCCCUGAGCACUUACUAACAACCUGAGCUAACGCUAGGGCAGUGACCGAGACGGAAAGAAGCUCUUUGGAAUUACAGCAAAGCCCAGCUCGCGCCCCUCAUCCCAGGAGACCUUUCCUCGUGGCGGUUUCUGUGAGAAUUGGCCGCCCUGAGGACAGACCCAGGAAGGCAGAGGGUCUGUCCUGGGGCCGAGCACCAGCUCUCAGUCUGAAAUGUGUGCCCAAUUUACCAAGCUCGGCUCCAACCAUAAAAAUCACCGUGAUGGCAGGCCCGCCAAGAGACGUUUGCCCGGAAUCGUUCAAACUCCUGAACACCCUUACCUGCAGGGAGAUGAUCUGGACUGGAGAGGAGAACUGGCGCCUUCUCUUUCAAAGGCAAUAAUGGAAUUGACUUUCAGAAACUGAAAUUUGUGCACAAAACAUUCUAAACACUAGUGAAGCCUGUUUCGUUGAACUAAUUCUGGCUCUGGAAAUGUUUUUGUUUUAUAGGUAUUUACGGUUUUUGUUUUUGUUUUAUUUUUGGUUUGGAUUCAAGCUUAGUUUGUUAAUAUGUAUAAUUUAGCAUUUCUUGCACUCAUGUAAAUAUGGAGUAAGUAUUGUAAACUAUUUCAUUGCUGGGGACUGUGGGUGUUAUACAUACAUUUAGGACUGCAAUUUUUUGGUAUUUUUUGUAUUGUAAAAUAACAGCUAAUUUAAGCAGGAACAAGAGAAUUAAGGGAGGUCUGUGCAUUUUAAACACAAAUGUGAAGAACUUGUAUAUAAACAAAAGUAAAUACUAUAAUACAAAUUUUCUUCUGAAAUAAAAGUAGAUCUGGUAAAAAUGCGGUUUUUGCUCCAAGUGUUGAA
Leptonychotes weddellii (Weddell seal) is the source of this 4776-nucleotide non-coding RNA. The record is from RefSeq and is a predicted model, not a curated record. NCBI's taxonomy places the organism in Eukaryota, Metazoa, Chordata, Mammalia, Carnivora, Phocidae.